UAAUUGAAGAGUUUGAUCAUGGCUCAGAUUGAACGCUGGCGGCAGGCUUAACACAUGCAAGUCGGGCGGAAACGAAAGAAAGCUUGCUUUCUUGGCGUCGAGCGGCGGACGGGUGAGUAAUGCCUGGGAAAUUGCCCUGAUGUGGGGGAUAACCAUUGGAAACGAUGGCUAAUACCGCAUAACGUCUACGGACCAAAGAGGGGGACCUUCGGGCCUCUCGCGUCGGGAUAUGCCCAGGUGGGAUUAGCUUGUUGGUGAGGUAAGGGCUCACCAAGGCGACGAUCCCUAGCUGGUCUGAGAGGAUGAUCAGCCACACUGGAACUGAGACACGGUCCAGACUCCUACGGGAGGCAGCAGUGGGGAAUAUUGCACAAUGGGCGCAAGCCUGAUGCAGCCAUGCCGCGUGUAUGAAGAAGGCCUUCGGGUUGUAAAGUACUUUCAGUAGUGAGGAAGGUGGUGUAUUUAAUACGUGCAUCAUUUGACGUUAGCUGCAGAAGAAGCACCGGCUAACUCCGUGCCAGCAGCCGCGGUAAUACGGAGGGUGCGAGCGUUAAUCGGAAUUACUGGGCGUAAAGCGCAUGCAGGUGGAUGAUUAAGUCAGAUGUGAAAGCCCGGGGCUUAACCCCGGAACAGCAUUUGAAACUGGUCAUCUAGAGUACUGUAGAGGGGGGUAGAAU
RNAcentral lists this non-coding RNA (677 nucleotides) under Vibrio aerogenes CECT 7868. Its description in RNAcentral is "Bacterial small subunit ribosomal RNA". It matches the Rfam family "Bacterial small subunit ribosomal RNA", at positions 1 to 667 of the family's 1533-position model. The record is from Rfam by way of RNAcentral. Lineage: Bacteria; Pseudomonadati; Pseudomonadota; Gammaproteobacteria; Vibrionales; Vibrionaceae.